GGCCUCUGAAACUAGCUCUGGGACCGGGGUCUGCGGCCGGCCCCUAGCUGGCCCCGUCUCCCAUCCCCAGAAGGGUAUUCACUGGGGGUUCUGAGCUUUGGCUACUCCAGUUUCCCACGACACGAUGUUCCCUUUCUACAGCUGCUGGAGGACUGGACUGCUACUACUACUACUCCUGGCUGUGGCAGUGAGAGAAUCCUGGCAGACAGAAGAAAAAACUUGCGACUUGGUAGGAGAAAAGGGUAAAGAGUCAGAGAAAGAGUUGGCUCUAGUGAAGAGGCUGAAACCACUGUUUAAUAAAAGCUUUGAGAGCACUGUGGGCCAGGGUUCAGAGACAUACAUCUACAUCUUCAGGGUGUGCCGGGAAGCUGGCAACCACACUUCUGGGGCAGGCCUGGUGCAAAUCAACAAAAGUAAUGGGAAGGAGACAGUGGUAGGGAGACUCAACGAGACUCACAUCUUCAACGGAAGUAAGAAAACUCCCCUUCCUACCAUUGAUGGACUAAUUGAUCCCAAAUCAAUCUCUCUGACAAUCCUGUAUGUCUUGGCCUUUUCUAGUGUCUUCAGCAUAUCAUACGUGUGGUUCGGCACACCUGAGACUGUAAUAUACCACAGGAUGCCUAAUUCUACAGCUCCUCUGUAAGCCACAGC
Molecule: small RNA, 651 nt
Filed under: Pongo abelii (Sumatran orangutan)
Lineage: Eukaryota; Metazoa; Chordata; Mammalia; Primates; Hominidae
Description: retained intron
Source: RNAcentral